Molecule: non-coding RNA, 578 nt
Organism: Sus scrofa (pig)
Lineage: Eukaryota; Metazoa; Chordata; Mammalia; Artiodactyla; Suidae
Source: the annotation of a RefSeq genome assembly
GAUUUGCAUGCUGUCCCCUAAGGAGGACCUUCCCUGGCCAGCCUGACAUAAAAGGGCAGCUCUAGCCUGGCUUGGACUGAUCAGGGCUCCUCCGUUCACAGCUGACCAUGAGGUUCCCUGCUCAGCUCCUGGGGCUCCUCCUGCUCUGGGUCCCAGGAUCCGAUGGGGCCAUUGUGCUGACCCAGACUCCACUCUCCCUGUCAGUCAGCCCUGGAGAGCCGGCCUCCAUCUCCUGCAGGUCCAGUCAGAGCCUCCUACACACUGAUGGAAAGAAUUAUUUGAAUUGGUACCUGCAGAAACCAGGCCAGUCUCCACAGCUCCUGAUCUAUUAUGCUACCAACAGGGAUACUGGGGUCCCAGACAGGUUCACUGGCAGUGGAUCAGGCACAGAUUUCACCCUGAAAAUCAGCAGGGUGGAGGCUGAGGAUGUGGGAGUUUAUUACUGUUUUCAAGCUUUACAAUCUCCUCCCACAGUGAUACAGCCCUUAACACAAACCCCUCUCCUGGGGGCCCAGCUGCACACAUCGGUGUGCAUGUUGUCUGGGGAGCAGAGGGGCAGAAGCUCUGAGUCUGUGUAA